ACCACAGUGGUGUAAUGGUAGAGCACGUGUCCCCGGAUAGGAUGAAACGUGGGUUCGAUUCCCGCCUGAGGCGGUG
Non-coding RNA from Parelaphostrongylus tenuis, 76 nucleotides. NCBI's taxonomy places the organism in Eukaryota, Metazoa, Nematoda, Chromadorea, Rhabditida, Metastrongylidae. The record is from the annotation of a GenBank genome assembly.